UUCUCCUGCGCCCAUCAUCAAUUGUUCAAUCCCACGCCGAUUUCUCAGUGUAUUUUUUUCGUUUACGAGUUAGGGUUUCGGUUUUACGGACCUCGAGGCAUCCACGUUUCUCGAAUCGAAUCUCGGCGUUUCUUGCUACUGAAGGCCGUAUUGAUUCCGAUCACCACAAACGCCUUCUCCGGCGGAAGCGGCCUCGGAUUUCUCCCGUUCGUUCGAGAUAACGCCAUUUCCAUCUCCCAAUUUCCGAACGUUUUCUCCAGAGAUCUGCCGAAUCAAAGCUUUAAAAAGAGAAUUCAACAACAGAAUGCAACAAAAAUUUCGAAAAAUCAAAAGAAUGACGUUAACAUUACAGUUUUACAUCAAGAGGAGUUCAAAAUUAGUGAAACUCACUCGUUUAUGAUCACAAUCUGGAGUGGCUGCUUCAAGAUUUUCAAAAUGGUUAAGAAACUGAGGAUCUUUGGUUUGAAUUCUGUUGCGCCCAGUGAAGAGUGAUCCUGCAAGAAAGCUUGCAAAGCAUAGGACCAAGUUCAUGGACGAACAUGUUAAACCGAUUAUCAAGCUUGGGGAGUCGCUUAUCCCUGUGAACAACUAUGAACCCCUCGACGGCUGGUUAUGGGAGAUGAGCCCUCAUGGCAUGGCCACAUCACCAUCUAGGCGUUAACUACCCCCAACUACUGGGGACGAACGGAUCCGAAGCCACCCCAAGAAGUUGGAGAAAGCGGUGAGAAAAACAAGGGGGCAGUGGAAGAUGAACAUCCUCGAAGUAAAUUCUUUUUGUGUUUUGUUGAAUUACAUCCACCUCUUAAGUAUUAGACUUGCUAUCAAGGAUCUGUAAUUCCUGUCAUCUUAGAUAAUCUCACAUUGAGGAGGGAGAAUUGGGCCAAAGCACCCGCAAGGAAGCCCAGAUUUGAAUGCCAACUAUAGUCAACAACCAUGACCAAUGGUAGCAGCGUAUGAAUCGGAGGAAGGUAAAAGGAAUUCAAACUGAGUUGAGAAUACAUUUUUGACAAUAAAGGUUUUAAUAAAAUCAAAGUUUUAUUUUAUAUUUUCA
Molecule: long non-coding RNA, 1051 nt
Organism: Cucumis melo (muskmelon)
Lineage: Eukaryota; Viridiplantae; Streptophyta; Magnoliopsida; Cucurbitales; Cucurbitaceae
Exons: 3
Source: RefSeq, a predicted model, not a curated record